RNAcentral lists this ribosomal RNA (601 nucleotides) under uncultured archaeon. RNAcentral describes it as "partial 16S ribosomal RNA". The record is from RNAcentral.
UUUUCGGUUGAUCCCGCCGGACGUAGAAUGGAGGCUUGCUUCCCGCCCUGUUUGUAGGGAGGUCAUUAUGACCGCAUCCCGUUCUCCCAUCACUCGCUACGCUCUCCCGGCUCGCUGCUCCCGCAUCGAACGAGAUGUUNCGUCGACGACAUGCGACUUGGGCGACGCGGUGUGCCGCGUGUGCCGUCGCCGUGUCGGCCAUUCUUGCCGGCUACGCAAACGAUGCUCGCCCCGCGAUCGCCGCGGAGGAAGCGCGGGCCGAAUCGUCCGUCGAACGGCGAGCGAAAGCGCUGCGAUUGGUGGAGCAACUCGGGGACGAUCGGUUUGACAUUCGCGAACAAGCGACGACCUCGCUUUUGAAGAUGGGACUUUCCGCCCGCGCCGAGCUCGAGCAAGCCACUCGCCAUCUUGAUCGCGAAGUGCGCUAUCGAGCGGAACGCAUCCUGCUGAUCGUGCGCAAGAUCGACCUCGAACAGCGGCUCGACGCCUUCAUCGAGGAAGUCGGCAAGCCGGGCGAUUACGACCUGCCCGCUUGGCCGCUCGUGAAGAAAGAGUUGGGAGAUAAGAAAGAAACUCGACGCUUGUUCGCGUUGAUGGUGCG